GCGCAGCAGGCGCGAAUUUUUCUCAAUGGGCGAAAGCCUGAAGGAGCGACGCCGCGUGGGGGAUGAAUGGCUUCGGCCCGUAAACCCCUGUCAUUUGUGAACAAAUUGCUUCACCUAAUACGUGAAGCAUUGAUUGUAACGGAAGAGGAAGGGACGGCUAACUCUGUGCCAGCAGCCGCGGUAAUACAGAGGUCCCAAGCGUUGUUCGGAUUCACUGGGCGUAAAGGGUGCGUAGGCGGUUUGACAAGUCUGAUGUGAAAUCCCGCAGCUUAACUGCGGAACUGCAUUGGAAACUGUUUGACUAGAGGGAUGGAGGGGAGACUGGAAUACUUGGUGUAGCAGUGAAAUGCGUAGAUAUCAAGUGGAACACCAGUGGCGAAGGCGAGUCCCUGGACAUUUCCUGACGCUGAGGCACGAAAGCCAGGGGAGCAAGCGGGAUUAGAUACCCCCGUAGU
This 455-nucleotide ribosomal RNA is filed under the name uncultured organism. Its description in RNAcentral is "bacterial SSU rRNA". It matches the Rfam family "Bacterial small subunit ribosomal RNA", at positions 346 to 794 of the family's 1533-position model. The record is from RNAcentral.